This 440-nucleotide ribosomal RNA is filed under the name uncultured bacterium. RNAcentral describes it as "partial 16S ribosomal RNA". It matches the Rfam family "Bacterial small subunit ribosomal RNA", at positions 338 to 795 of the family's 1533-position model. The record is from RNAcentral.
CCUACGGGAGGCAGCAGUGGGGAAUAUUGCACCAUGGGGGGAACCCUGAUGCAGCAAUGCCGCGUGGGUGAAGAAGCACUCCGGUGCGUAGAGCCCUGUCAGCAGGGAAGAAAAUGACAGUACCUGACCAAGAAGCCCCGGCUAACUACGUGCCAGCAGCCGCCGUACUACGUAGGGGGCAAGCGUUAUCCGGCUUUACUGGGUGGAAAGGGAGCGCAGGCGGUAUGGCAAGUCAGAUGUGAAAACCCAGGGCCCAACCCUGGGACUGCAUUUGAAACUGCAAUACUGGAGUGCCGGAGAGGUAAGUGGAAUUCCUAGUGUAGCGGUGAAAUGCGUAGAUAUUAGGAGGAACACCAGGGGCGAAGGCGGCUUACUGGACGGUAACUGACGCUGAGGCUCGAAAGCGUGGGGAGCAAACAGGAGUAGAUACCCCAGGAGUC